UAGGGAAUCUUCGGCAAUGGACGAAAGUCUGACCGAGCAACGCCGCGUGAGUGAAGAAGGUUUUCGGCUCGUAAAACACUGUUGUUAGAGAAGAACAAGGACGUUAGUAACUGAAUGUCCCCUGACGGUAUCUAACCAGAAAGCCACGGCUAACUACGUGCCAGCAGCCGCGGUAAUACGUAGGUGGCAAGCGUUGAUCGGACUUAUUGGGCGUAAAGCGAGCGCAGGCGGUUUCUUAAGUCUGAUGUGAAAGCCCCCGGCUCAACCGGGGAGGGUCAUUGGAAACUGGGAGACUUGAGUGCAGAAGAGGAGGGUGGAAUUCCAUGUGUAGCGGUGAAAUGCGUAGAGAUGUGGAGGAACACCAGUGGCGAAGGCGGCUCCCUGGUCAGUAACUGACGCUGAGGCUCGAAAGCGUGGGGAGCAAACAGG
RNAcentral lists this ribosomal RNA (429 nucleotides) under Chloroflexota bacterium. RNAcentral describes it as "Chloroflexi bacterium partial 16S ribosomal RNA". It matches the Rfam family "Bacterial small subunit ribosomal RNA", at positions 355 to 776 of the family's 1533-position model. Lineage: Bacteria; Bacillati; Chloroflexota. The record is from RNAcentral.